AUUGAACGCUGGCGGCAGGCCUAACACAUGCAAGUCGAGCGGAUGAGGAGUGCUUGCACUCCGAUUCAGCGGCGGACGGGUGAGUAAUGCCUAGGAAUCUGCCCGAUAGUGGGGGACAACGUUUCGAAAGGAACGCUAAUACCGCAUACGUCCUACGGGAGAAAGUGGGGGCUCUUCGGACCUCACGCUAUCGGAUGAGCCUAGGUCGGAUUAGCUAGUUGGUGGGGUAAAGGCCCACCAAGGCGACGAUCCGUAACUGGUCUGAGAGGAUGAUCAGUCACACUGGAACUGAGACACGGUCCAGACUCCUACGGGAGGCAGCAGUGGGGAAUAUUGGACAAUGGGCGAAAGCCUGAUCCAGCCAUGCCGCGUGUGUGAAGAAGGUCUUCGGAUUGUAAAGCACUUUAAGUUGGGAGGAAGGGCUGUAAGUUAAUACCUUGCAGUUUUGACGUUACCGACAGAAUAAGCACCGGCUAACUUCGUGCCAGCCGCCGCAGUAA
RNAcentral lists this ribosomal RNA (500 nucleotides) under uncultured bacterium. Its description in RNAcentral is "partial 16S ribosomal RNA". It matches the Rfam family "Bacterial small subunit ribosomal RNA", at positions 30 to 523 of the family's 1533-position model. The record is from RNAcentral.